This 329-nucleotide unclassified non-coding RNA is filed under the name soil metagenome. RNAcentral describes it as "partial contains 5.8S ribosomal RNA, internal transcribed spacer 2, and large subunit ribosomal RNA". The stretch from base 1 to 120 matches the Rfam family "5.8S ribosomal RNA", at positions 35 to 154 of the family's 154-position model. The record is from RNAcentral.
GAUGAAGAACGUAGCGAAAUGCGAUAAGUAAUGUGAAUUGCAGAAUUCAGUGAAUCAUCGAAUCUUUGAACGCUCAUUGCGCCCCUUGGUAUUCCGAGGGGCAUGCCUGUUCGAGCGUCAUUAUAACCCCUCAAGCUCAGCUUGGUGUUGGGGCCUGCUGCACUGGCAGCCCUUAAAAUCAGUGGCGGCGCCAUCUGGCUCUAAGCGUAGUAAUUCUUCUCGCUAUGGAGUCCUGGUGGAUGCUUGCCAUCAACCCCCAAUUUUUCUAUGGUUGACCUCGGAUCAGGUAGGGAUACCCGCUGAACUUAAGCAUAUCAAUAAGCGGAGGA